GACGAACGCUGGCGGCGUGUCUAAUACAUGCAAGUAGAACGCACAGUUUAUACCGUAGCUUGCUACACCAUAGACUGUGAGUUGCGAACGGGUGAGUAACGCGUAGGUAACCUGCCUGGUAGCGGGGGAUAACUAUUGGAAACGAUAGCUAAUACCGCAUAAUAUUAAUUAUUGCAUGAUAAUUGAUUGAAAGAUGCAACUGCAUCACUACCAGAUGGACCUGCGUUGUAUUAGCUAGUAGGUGAGGUAACGGCUCACCUAGGCGACGAUACAUAGCCGACCUGAGAGGGUGAUCGGCCACACUGGGACUGAGACACGGCCCAGACUCCUACGGGAGGCAGCAGUAGGGAAUCUUCGGCAAUGGACGAAAGUCUGACCGAGCAACGCCGCGUGAGUGAAGAAGGUUUUCGGAUCGUAAAGCUCUGUUGUAAGAGAAGAACGGGUGUGAGAGUGGA
Molecule: ribosomal RNA, 455 nt
Filed under: Streptococcus gordonii
Lineage: Bacteria; Bacillati; Bacillota; Bacilli; Lactobacillales; Streptococcaceae
Description: bacterial SSU rRNA
Rfam family: Bacterial small subunit ribosomal RNA
Source: RNAcentral